Molecule: ribosomal RNA, 429 nt
Filed under: uncultured archaeon
Lineage: Archaea
Description: bacterial SSU rRNA
Rfam family: Archaeal small subunit ribosomal RNA
Source: RNAcentral
UACCGGCGGCUCGAGUGGUGACCAUUUUUAUUGGGCUUAAAGCGUUCGUAGCUGGAUUGUUAAGUCUCUUGGGAAAUCUAACGGCUCAACCGUUAGGCGUCUAAGGGAUACUGGCAAUCUAGGGACCGGAAGAGGUGAGAGGUACUCCUGGGGUAGGAGUGAAAUCCUGUAAUCCUAGGGGGACCACCUGUGGCGAAGGCGUCUCACCAGGACGGCUCCGACAGUGAGGGACGAAAGCUGGGGGAGCAAACCGGAUUAGAUACCCGGGUAGUCCCAGCCGUAAACGAUGCGCGUUAGGUGUAUCAGCGACCACGAGUCGCUGAGGUGCCGAAGGGAAACCGUGAAACGUGCCGCCUGGGAAGUACGGUCGCAAGGCUGAAACUUAAAGGAAUUGGCGGGGAGCACCACAACGGGUGGAGCCUGCGGUUU